Molecule: long non-coding RNA, 366 nt
Filed under: Hordeum vulgare
Lineage: Eukaryota; Viridiplantae; Streptophyta; Magnoliopsida; Poales; Poaceae
Description: long non-coding RNA (HVUL_LNC018062)
Source: RNAcentral
GUUUCUAUUUUUUUAUUUUCCUGGUACACCGUUUUUAUCUUUGAGAGGCACUAUUAGAGCCCUCCAUAUUAAUUCUAGAAGAGAGUUACAAAGAACCAUCGGUUGUGCUAGCUAAUGAAAUGUAAGGCGUUACAUUGUAGAUUGGUUCGAGAGAGAGUAUGGUUCAUUACUAUAGACCUGUGUGUGACAAAAGAAAUAUAUUAAUUCUAGUGGACAUUGUUUUCCUCCACAAAUGAGCUAGAUCCAUGUGGGAUGUGACAAUGGAAGUGCUGAGCAAAGAAGUGGUUUGGUGGGGAUGGCAUGCUUUAUUUUCUCUACUUUAAUUAUCAUGUGCCUUUUGUCCUUUUACAUAUUAUAUCUCUCCCU